UACGUAGGGGGCGAGCGUUGUCCGGAUUUACUGGGCGUAAAGCGCGUGUAGGCGGCGGCUUAAGUCGGGUGUGAAAGCCCGGGCUCAACCCCGGGAUGCCGCUCGAGACUGGGUCGCUUGAGGACGGAAGAGGGGCGUGGAAGUUCCUGGUGUAGCGGUGAAAUGCGUAGAGAUCAGGAGGAACACCCGUGGCGAAGGCGGCGCCCUGGUCCGUUACUGACGCUGAGACG
This 230-nucleotide ribosomal RNA is filed under the name uncultured bacterium. RNAcentral describes it as "partial 16S ribosomal RNA". It matches the Rfam family "Bacterial small subunit ribosomal RNA", at positions 524 to 753 of the family's 1533-position model. The record is from RNAcentral.